UACGAAGGGGGCUAGCGUUGCUCGGAAUCACUGGGCGUAAAGCGCACGUAGGCGGCUUUUUAAGUCAGGGGUGAAAUCCUGGAGCUCAACUCCAGAACUGCCUUUGAUACUGAGAAGCUUGAGUCCGGGAGAGGUGAGUGGAACUGCGAGUGUAGAGGUGAAAUUCGUAGAUAUUCGCAAGAACACCAGUGGCGAAGGCGGCUCACUGGCCCGGUACUGACGCUGAGGAGCGAAAGCGUGGGGAGCAAACAGG
RNAcentral lists this ribosomal RNA (253 nucleotides) under uncultured bacterium. Its description in RNAcentral is "partial 16S ribosomal RNA". It matches the Rfam family "Bacterial small subunit ribosomal RNA", at positions 524 to 776 of the family's 1533-position model. The record is from RNAcentral.